RNAcentral lists this ribosomal RNA (396 nucleotides) under Triticum aestivum (bread wheat). Its description in RNAcentral is "partial small subunit ribosomal RNA". The record is from RNAcentral. Lineage: Eukaryota; Viridiplantae; Streptophyta; Magnoliopsida; Poales; Poaceae.
AUGGAAUUGGAAGGGCUGGCAGGUAAUACAGAUAUGCAUCAACAUACAGACGCAGAGAAGCGCACAUUCUCUGUCACUGUUUGUUUCCCCUCUCGUCCUUGUGCCGUCCGUGAGCGUCAGGUCUCUCUCGCUUUUACGAAGGCGGUAUUGCAAAACCGGCCGAAUCGCUACCGGUUCCAUAGAUGCUGGCUGGAACAAACCGACAAUACACGCUCCAUAUGCAUUUGCUUCGCGCCACUUGCGCUAGCUCAGCUGGGCCGGCGACCCUGUUGCCUCCAGCUCGGUGCUACUGCUACCAAGCAUGGCGAUGGAGUAAAUUGUGGAGAUACCACUCAUUCACUCGGGUAUCAGGGCCACUUCCCCACUAUACCGAUACUCUACUGCAUUACCGUAUAG